CGGCCGAUACAUUUCUGGUGUACCUCAAAACUGAUGGUACCCGUAAUGUUUCCGCCGAG
RNAcentral lists this microRNA precursor (59 nucleotides) under Caenorhabditis brenneri. RNAcentral describes it as "microRNA cbn-mir-56 precursor". Its record names the gene cbn-mir-56. Lineage: Eukaryota; Metazoa; Nematoda; Chromadorea; Rhabditida; Rhabditidae. The record is from miRBase by way of RNAcentral.